AUCUACUGUUCAUGGACAGGGCCCAGUGACUCUCCUCUUCCUACCAAUGUGCAGAGUGUACUCAGCGGAAGAGUGCCGACAGCUCACAUGCAAACGCUUGGCUAAAGCUCCAGCCCAACUCCCAUCCAGAAAUUCAGCAUCCCUAAUGACUCCUAAGAUGCCAUCGCCCUGCAGGGUGGACGACAUUCUGUUCAGCACCUUCAUGUCACAGCACGCAAGCCUGACGGCGGGCCACGGCCAAUUUCUCCCCAGGGACCCAGAAUUUCCCACACCCCACAUUCGGCCAUUGCCGGCAUGCGCUUUUUGAGGGACUUGAAAAAGGCAAUUGAGUCAUGUGAUGGUGGAAGGAAGAAGUGUCUGCGUGGUCUGUGGAAAUAUCACAGCAGCAACAGCAGCUCGCUUUCAUCAUUCUCUCCAUGGGGACACAACUCAUCAACAGCACGAAAGAGUGACUGGGCACCUCUACCAAGAGCGAUUAUUCACCAGAGACAACCAUCUGAGUCCUCUCCUCCUACCAAGUGUCAUGUCACCUGCUGUGUGUCACAACACACAGAGAUCAAGCCUCUGACUCCACCUGCAGACAAACACUCAGUUCCCUGGGAAAAUGGAAAGUAAAACCCUGUUGGCAGAAUAAACGUCUUAACUUGACAAGGGAGCCAUAUUUUCUCACAGCAUGUCCAUCAGUGUCCACUGUGACCUCCUGUCCCACCGCUAUGCUGACCCUAAGGUGGUGUGGGAGAAGGCACAUAGGGGACACGAGACACAGCCCUGCGCCCACCAUGCCCUUCACGACUGUCGCACCAAAGUCCCUUGUCCUCCACACUCUCAAGUUUUCCUCCUACCCUCAGAGUGUCGUCAUAUCUCCGCUAGGUACUUCUGUGCCAGCCCCAGACUUCACCAAUGCGGAGAAAUCAAAAGCCUGAAAUAGGAAACACAGAGGGGGUCUCCUCUCCUCUAAUUGCGACUGUCCUCACCCUCUUGCCCCUCCAUAGCUGCAGCACCCAACCCUGUGCCGACGCCCCUCACCGUUGUGGACAGCACCCACUUCCCUGAGAGUGCACACAACGUCCCCUCGAGGCAACAUCACCACCCCUCAGCAACACCUUCUCACAGAAACAGGGGAAGGGACAGCCAGAGCCACUGACUACAUGCUGUCCUAUUCAGCAAUGAAGAAUAGGAGGGCAAAAUCCUCCAGCCUGGAGAGCUCGCCAGGCACGUUCCUGGACAUCCAGCCUUAUCGGCACACACCCAUGAGGAUCUAAAUGUCCACGGCCUCAUCUACUGUUCAUGGACAGGGCCCAGUGACUCUCCUCUUCCUACCAAUGUGCAGAGUGUACUCAGCGGAAGAGUGCCGACAGCUCACAUGCAAACGCUUGGCUAAAGCUCCAGCCCAACUCCCAUCCAGAAAUUCAGCAUCCCUAAUGACUCCUAAGAUGCCAUCGCCCUGCAUGGUGGACGACAUUCUGUUCAGCACCUUCAUGUCAGAGCACGCAAGCCUGACGGCGGGCCAUGGCCAAUUUCUCCCCAGGGACCCAGAAUUUCCCACACCCCACAUUCGGCCAUUGCCAUCAUGCGCUUUUUGGGCGACUUGAAAAAGGCAACUGAGUCAUGUGAUGGUGGAAGGAAGAAGUGUCAGCGUGGUUUGUGGAAAUAUAACAGCAGCAA
This 1665-nucleotide long non-coding RNA is filed under the name Equus caballus (horse). Its description in RNAcentral is "lncRNA (ENSECAG00000045945.1)". The record is from RNAcentral. Lineage: Eukaryota; Metazoa; Chordata; Mammalia; Perissodactyla; Equidae.